RNAcentral lists this ribosomal RNA (837 nucleotides) under Botryosphaeria dothidea. Its description in RNAcentral is "eukaryotic LSU rRNA". The stretch from base 1 to 308 matches the Rfam family "Eukaryotic small subunit ribosomal RNA", at positions 1598 to 1831 of the family's 1831-position model. Lineage: Eukaryota; Fungi; Ascomycota; Dothideomycetes; Botryosphaeriales; Botryosphaeriaceae. The record is from RNAcentral.
CCCGAGCCAGGUCCCCGUACGAAAAGUUCAGAAGUUUCUUCCGCGGCCGACGACCCGCGCGCCGGAGCAGAAGUAUGUCUUCUCCCUUCCGGCUAGAAGGCCGCUUCUUGGGACAUGCAUUACGUCCCUGCCCUUUGUACACACCGCCCGUCGCUACUACCGAUUGAAUGGCUUAGUGAGGCUUUCGGACUGGCUCAGGGAGGUCGGCAACGACCACCCAGAGCCGGAAAGUUUGUCAAACUACGUCAUUUAGAGGAAGUAAAAGUCGUAACAAGGUUUCCGUAGGUGAACCUGCGGAAGGAUCAUUACCGAGUUGAUUCGGGCUCCGGCCCGAUCCUCCCACCCUUUGUGUACCUACCUCUGUUGCUUUGGCGGGCCGCGGUCCUCCGCGGCCGGCCCCCCUCCCCGGGGGGUGGCCAGCGCCCGCCAGAGGACCAUCAAACUCCAGUCAGUAAACGAUGCAGUCUGAAAAACAUUUAAUAAACUAAAACUUUCAACAACGGAUCUCUUGGUUCUGGCAUCGAUGAAGAACGCAGCGAAAUGCGAUAAGUAAUGUGAAUUGCAGAAUUCAGUGAAUCAUCGAAUCUUUGAACGCACAUUGCGCCCUUUGGUAUUCCGAAGGGCAUGCCUGUUCGAGCGUCAUUACAACCCUCAAGCUCUGCUUGGUAUUGGGCACCGUCCUUUGCGGGCGCGCCUCAAAGACCUCGGCGGUGGCGUCUUGCCUCAAGCGUAGUAGAACAUACAUCUCGCUUCGGAGCGCAGGGCGUCGCCGCGCCGGACGAACCUUCUGAACUUUCUCAAGGUGACCUCGGAUCAGGUAGGGAUCCCCUGUUUAAA